CUAAGAAUAGUCCGCAAUGGGGGAAACCCUGACGGUGCGACGCCGCGUGAACGAUGAAGGCCUGACGGUUGUAAAGUUCUUUUCUCGGUGAAGAAUAAGGACAGGAGUGGAACGCCUGUUCGAUGACGUUAAUCGAGGAAUAAGCCCCGGCUAAUUACGUGCCAGCAGCCGCGGUAAUACGUAUGGGGCGAGCGUUGUUCGGAAUUAUUGGGCGUAAAGGGCACGUAGGCGGUUGCGUAAGCUUGGUGUGAAAGGCUUCGGCUCAACCGGAGUUGUGCGCUGGGAACUGCGCGACUAGAGUUCUGGAGGGGAAGCUGGAAUUCCUGGUGUAGGGGUGAAAUCUGUAGAUAUCAGGAAGAACACCGGUGGCGAAGGCGAGCUUCUGGCCAGAAACUGACGCUGAGGUGCGAAAGCGUGGGGAGCGAACAGGAUUAGAUACCCCCGUAGUCC
Molecule: ribosomal RNA, 450 nt
Filed under: uncultured prokaryote
Description: bacterial SSU rRNA
Rfam family: Bacterial small subunit ribosomal RNA
Source: RNAcentral